GACGAACGCGGCGGCGUGCCUAAUACAUGCAAGUAGAACGCUGAAGCUUGGUGCUUGCACCGAGCGGAUGAGUUGCGAACGGGUGAGUAACGCGUAGGUAACCUGCCUGGUAGCGGGGGAUAACUAUUGGAAACGAUAGCUAAUACCGCAUAAGAGUAGAUGUUGCAUGACAUUUGCUUAAAAGGUGCAAUUGCAUCACUACCAGAUGGACCUGCGUUGUAUUAGCUAGUUGGUGAGGUAACGGCUCACCAAGGCAACGAUACAUAGCCGACCUGAGAGGGUGAUCGGCCACACUGGGACUGAGACACGGCCCAGACUCCUACGGGAGGCAGCAGUAGGGAAUCUUCGGCAAUGGACGGAAGUCUGACCGAGCAACGCCGCGUGAGUGAAGAAAGGUUUUCGGAUCGUAAAAGCUCUGUUGUAAAGAGAAAGAAACGAAGUGUGAAGAAGUGGAAAAGUUCCACCACCG
RNAcentral lists this ribosomal RNA (469 nucleotides) under Streptococcus sp. oral taxon C08. RNAcentral describes it as "bacterial SSU rRNA". It matches the Rfam family "Bacterial small subunit ribosomal RNA", at positions 28 to 502 of the family's 1533-position model. Lineage: Bacteria; Bacillati; Bacillota; Bacilli; Lactobacillales; Streptococcaceae. The record is from RNAcentral.